GAUGAAGAACGUAGCGAAAUGCGAUAAGUAGUGUGAAUUGCAGAAUUCAGUGAAUCAUCGAAUCUUUGAACGCACAUUGCGCCUUUUGGUAUUCCAAAGGGCAUGCCUGUUCGAGCGUCAUUUGUACCCUCAAGCUUUGCUUGGUGUUGGGCGUCUUGUCUCUAGCUUUGCUGGAGACUCGCCUUAAAGUAAUUGGCAGCCGGCCUACUGGUUUCGGAGCGCAGCACAAGUCGCACUCUCUAUCAGCAAAGGUCUAGCAUCCAUUAAGCCUUUUUUUCAACUUUUGACCUCGGAUCAGGUAGGGAUACCCGCUGAACUUAAGCAUAUCAAUAAGCGGAGGA
This 341-nucleotide unclassified non-coding RNA is filed under the name soil metagenome. RNAcentral's name for it is "partial contains 5.8S ribosomal RNA, internal transcribed spacer 2, and large subunit ribosomal RNA". The stretch from base 1 to 120 matches the Rfam family "5.8S ribosomal RNA", at positions 35 to 154 of the family's 154-position model. The record is from RNAcentral.